GUACUGCUGAGGAGUCCCACAAUAGGACGAAACGACCGCUCAGUAA
RNAcentral lists this non-coding RNA (46 nucleotides) under Schistosoma curassoni. The record is from RNAcentral. Lineage: Eukaryota; Metazoa; Platyhelminthes; Trematoda; Strigeidida; Schistosomatidae.